GGCAGCAGCCGCGGUAAUACCGGCGGCUCGAGUGGUGGCCACUUUAUUGGGCUUAAAGCGUUCGUAGCUGGGUUAUUAAGUCCCUUGGGAAAUCCGACAGCUUAACUGUCGGGCGUCUAAGAGAUACUGGUAAUCUUGGAACCGGGAGAGGUGAGGGGUACUUCGGGGGUAGGAGUGAAAUCCUGUAAUCCUCGAGGGACCACCUGUGGCGAAGGCGCCUCACCAGAACGGCUUCGACAGUGAGGGACGAAAGCUGGGGGAGCAAACCGGAUUAGAUACCCGGGUAGUCCCAGCCGUAAACGAUGUGCGUUAGGUGUAUCGGUGACCACGAGUCACCGAGGUGCCGAAGGGAAACCGUGAAACGUACCGCCUGGGAAGUACGGUCGCAAGGCUGAAACUUAAAGGAAUUGGCGGGGGAGCACCACAACAGGUGGAGCCUGCGGUUUUAAAUUGGACUCAACGCCGGAAAUCUCACCGGAUAAGACAGCAGAAUGAUUGCCGGGCUGAAGACUCUGCAUGACUAGCUGAGUAGAGGUGCAUGG
This 542-nucleotide ribosomal RNA is filed under the name uncultured archaeon. RNAcentral describes it as "bacterial SSU rRNA". It matches the Rfam family "Archaeal small subunit ribosomal RNA", at positions 457 to 997 of the family's 1478-position model. The record is from RNAcentral.